This 250-nucleotide long non-coding RNA is filed under the name Ananas comosus (pineapple). RNAcentral describes it as "long non-coding RNA (ACOM_LNC016895)". Lineage: Eukaryota; Viridiplantae; Streptophyta; Magnoliopsida; Poales; Bromeliaceae. The record is from RNAcentral.
GAUAGCGGUACCCUAAGUCGUCUUAGCUUUAGGGGUUUAGUGAUGGAAAGAACAAUGUUGUAAUAAUUAUGUUGGAAACUUGAUUGUAUUUGGAAGUAAAAAUCAAAGAAUCAAAAAGGAAUGGCAAUAUGUGAUGUAAUAAGUAAUAUGUUAGUUGAAUGCAUGUAAUAAAUUAGUUGUUUAUGUUUUCGAUGCCUUCCUUAUGCAAUCUUUGUUUGUAUGCUGUUCCUGGUUGGAACCUCGCGCAUUG